RNAcentral lists this long non-coding RNA (318 nucleotides) under Homo sapiens (human). Its description in RNAcentral is "non-protein coding FAM66B:4". Lineage: Eukaryota; Metazoa; Chordata; Mammalia; Primates; Hominidae. The record is from RNAcentral.
GGCUGAGGUGGCGCGGGGGCGGCCCCGGCUCCGCGAGAAGCGGCGGCAGCGAGGGCUGGAGGACCCGGGCUACGGGGCUCCGGGGCGUCUGGCCUGGUUGGGACUGAGCCCAUCCAGGGACUGGGACUCUGGGAUUCUGGUGUAGGUGGAUCCGGGGCAGGCUCAGGACCAAGUCCCUCUCCUUCCACCAAGGAGCGCCCAGAGGCCGGCGGGAGCUCCAGGUUCACCUCCUCCUCCUCCAGGAAAUCUCACUUCCAACUGGAUGUCUGGAUGAACUACUGAAAGCUGCUGAGUGUCCUGCAGCAGGUGAGCUGUGGC